AAGUCGUAACAAGGUAACCGUAGGUGAACCUGCGGUUGGAUCAUUAACAAAACUAGUCUUUGAGACUAAUACAAGGGCUUCGGCCUGAGUAAACACCUGUGAAGCUAUAUGUCUUUGGCGAGUUAACGCUCGUCACUUGUAUUUACCCUACUUUAAUAAUGACUGAAUCAAGAAUCUAAUUAAAAAACAACUUUUAACAACGGAUCUCUUGGCUCUC
This 217-nucleotide unclassified non-coding RNA is filed under the name fungal sp. RNAcentral describes it as "partial internal transcribed spacer region". The stretch from base 1 to 46 matches the Rfam family "Eukaryotic small subunit ribosomal RNA", at positions 1786 to 1831 of the family's 1831-position model. The record is from RNAcentral. Lineage: Eukaryota; Fungi.